RNAcentral lists this transfer RNA (71 nucleotides) under Elusimicrobiota bacterium. RNAcentral's name for it is "Elusimicrobia bacterium (groundwater metagenome) tRNA-Thr". It matches the Rfam family "tRNA". Rfam says of the family: Transfer RNA (tRNA) molecules are approximately 80 nucleotides in length. Lineage: Bacteria; Pseudomonadati; Elusimicrobiota. The record is from RNAcentral.
GCCCCUGUAGCUCAAUGGCAGAGCACGCGUUUUGUAAACGCUAGACCUCGGUUCGAUUCCGGGCAGGGGCU